AUGGAUCCAGAAGCUGCGAGAAGUGCAAGAGAAUCUUUGGACCUGGCAUUUCACAUGUCCAAUAUACUCGACACGGGUUUAGACCGUCACGCACUUUCUAUUCUCAUUGCCCUAUGUGAUCUUGGGGUCAAUCCUGAAGCACUUGCUGCUAUUGUUAAGGAACUUAGAAAGGAGAGGCUCCAAGUCUCAUCGUUGCGUCCUACACCUCCUUCUUAA
Non-coding RNA from Vicia faba (fava bean), 216 nucleotides. NCBI's taxonomy places the organism in Eukaryota, Viridiplantae, Streptophyta, Magnoliopsida, Fabales, Fabaceae. The record is from the annotation of a GenBank genome assembly.